AUACGGAGGGUGCGAGCGUUAAUCGGAAUUACUGGGCGUAAAGCGCGCGUAGGCGGCUAAGUAAGUCGGAUGUGAAAGCCCUGGGCUCAACCUGGGAAUUGCAUUCGAUACUGCUUGGCUAGAGUAUGGUAGAGGGUAGUGGAAUUCCUGGUGUAGCGGUGAAAUGCGUAGAUAUCAGGAGGAACAUCAGUGGCGAAGGCGGCUACCUGGACCAAUACUGACGCUGAGGUGCGAAAGCGUGGGGAGCAAACAGGAUUAGAAACCCCAGUAGUCC
RNAcentral lists this ribosomal RNA (274 nucleotides) under uncultured bacterium. RNAcentral's name for it is "partial 16S ribosomal RNA". It matches the Rfam family "Bacterial small subunit ribosomal RNA", at positions 523 to 796 of the family's 1533-position model. The record is from RNAcentral.